Small nuclear RNA from Lepus europaeus (European hare), 108 nucleotides. The record is from RefSeq and is a predicted model, not a curated record. NCBI's taxonomy places the organism in Eukaryota, Metazoa, Chordata, Mammalia, Lagomorpha, Leporidae.
AUGCUUGCACAUACCAGAAUACCAGCACAUACCAGAAUACCAGAGAGAAGAUGCGCACGGCCCCUGAGCAAGUAUGACACGAAAACCUGGGAAGCGUUCCAUGCUUUU